RNAcentral lists this long non-coding RNA (240 nucleotides) under Brassica napus (rape). Its description in RNAcentral is "long non-coding RNA (BNAP_LNC004994)". Lineage: Eukaryota; Viridiplantae; Streptophyta; Magnoliopsida; Brassicales; Brassicaceae. The record is from RNAcentral.
GCGAUUGCUUUUGAAGUCUAGUGGUCGGAUCAUGUUUCAUGACGAUGGUUCGAUGGCCGAACACUAGUAUGGAUAGUCACGUUGCUGGAGUAGGAGUAUUGAUGUGAUGCUUCUAGAUAUCAACCUUGGUGUUGACAGCUUCGAGAUUGGCUAAGAGUCAUGACGAAGUGUGUGGCUAGUACUAUGUGUCAUAGACCAUAGAUACUGAGCCUAGGUGUGAUUGUUCAAGGAAGGCUGUGU